This is a long non-coding RNA of Salvia miltiorrhiza (redroot sage), 1488 nucleotides long. RefSeq lists it as uncharacterized. The record is from RefSeq and is a predicted model, not a curated record. The transcript has 2 exons. NCBI's taxonomy places the organism in Eukaryota, Viridiplantae, Streptophyta, Magnoliopsida, Lamiales, Lamiaceae.
AUAUUAUGGACUAGAUUAGGAUAUAUUUGAUAUAUUCUAAUACUAAGUAAGACAGUUCAAGUGUGAAUUCCUUAGUCGUAAUUGUUGACUCAAGAAGACAAGACAAUUUAGAAUUGUCUUCUUCGCUUAUAAAUAAGGGAGCUUGGUCUUACGAAUCGAUAUAUGAAAAUAUACGAAAACAUUAGAAGAGAAAACACCUAGAGAGUACUAUGGUUUCAAUCAGAGAUUUCCUAGCUGUCGAAGAUUGAAACAUGCAUUGGGAAUUGUUCCUGCAUCGAAUCGACAUGCACGUGGAUACCUCUAGUGAUGGAUUCAAUUCGCGGGAAUCGAGACACACGUUUACUACACAACGAGUAAGUUAAUUUUAUUGUUGUGUACGUUUGUAAUCUCUACACAUGAAUCAAUUGUAAAUCUAGAUCUAAUCCUUGAAUGUAUAUUCCGCUGCGUAUCAUUGGAUGAUGUCAAGGACAACCAACAGUGGUAUCAGAGCCCAGGGCUCGAUUUACAAUUGCUAUUGUGUUCUAAUUGAUUAUGGGUUAAUGAAAUUAGAUUUUAGAAAUCUGAUUUUGAAGUAUGAAUUUAGAAUCGAAUAAUUCAUUGAAUUGGGAUUGUUUUUCUUAUGUUGCUGAGCAACGAAGAACAUGUAUUGGAAUUAGAAAUUUUCGAAAUUUGAUUUUGAGAAUUGGUUUUCUGAAUUUGGGUGAGAAUUGCUGGGCAUUCGAACCUAUCGCUGGAUCUGAGUCAACCUCCGCUGGAGGCGGUGACAGGCGGCUCGGGGCUCGCUGUUGUACUGCUCCCGACCGUCUUCCGCCGCGGGCGUUGCAUCGCGGCUUCGAGCCGGCGUGCUUCUGUCCCUUCGAAACUGUUUCCCACCGCAAAAGCUUGAACGCCGGAGUGGUGCGGAAAUGGUGGUUGAAUGGCGAGCGGCGCGCGACGGGAGUACCACUGCCGGUGGAGUUCUUGCGCGGCGGAACUGCUCUGUUGCGGUAAGAACUCCGCUGCUUCCUCCGCUGAAAAGGCGCUUCCCUCCGACGCGGCUUCGAGCCGCUACCGGCGUGGAGAACUCGCACGGUCGGAUCUGCAGAGGGCCGGCGACGACACCGCCUCGAAGCGGGGGCGAGGAGUUUAUAGUCCUUCGCGAUUCGCGUCAACGACCGGUGAGGGGCGUGCGACGCCACGUUUGACGUGGCCACUUCGCACGGCGUGACGUCUGGAGACGUCGCGAACCUCCUCCGACGUGGUUCCGGCCACCGGCGAGAGAAGCGAUAGCAGCGGCGGCUGCAAUCUGUGGAAGACAGCAAACCCUAACUGGGGUCUUGGGCUGGGCUGCAGAUGUUUGGGCCUUGGGCUAGGCUUGUCAGCUCUAUUAGUUGGGCUGCUACUGAAUGGCUUAAGCUGGGUCUGCGAAAUUUAUUUAAUUACAGCCCAUCAAAGGUUGUAACAGUUUUAUUAUAAAUAAAUAAAAAUCUGUUAUUAAUUUAGAAUUAA